AGAGUUUGAUCCUGGCUCAGGAUGAACGCUGGCGGUAUGCUUAACACAUGCAAGUCGAACGGAUGUUUUCGGACAUUAGUGGCGGACGGGUGAGUAACGCGUGAGAAUCUAGCUUCAGGUUGGGGACAACAGUUGGAAACGACUGCUAAUACCGAAUAUGCCGAGAGGUGAAAGAUUAAUUGCCUGAAGAAGAGCUCGCGUCUGAUUAGCUAGUUGGUGGGGUAAGAGCUUACCAAGGCGACGAUCGGUAGCUGGUCUGAGAGGACGAUCAGCCACACUGGGACUGAGACACGGCCCAGACUCCUACGGGAGGCAGCAGUGGGGAAUUUUCCGCAAUGGGCGAAAGCCUGACGGAGCAAUACCGCGUGAGGGAAGAAGGCUCUUGGGUUGUAAACCUCUUUUCUUAGGGAAGAAAAAAAUGACGGUACCUAAGGAAUAAGCAUCGGCUAACUCCGUGCCAGCAGCCGCGGUAAUACGGAGGAUGCAAGCGUUAUCCGGAAUGAUUGGGCGUAAAGCGUCCGCAGGUGGUUUAUCAAGUUUGCGGUUAAAGGUUCUGGCUCAACCAGAGACAGGCCGUGAAAACUGAUAGACUAGAGUAUGGUAGGGGCAGAGGGAAUUCCCAGUGUAGCGGUGAAAUGCGUAGAGAUUGGGAAGAACACCGGUGGCGAAAGCGCUCUGCUAGGCCAAAACUGACACUGAGGGACGAAAGCUAGGGGAGCGAAUGGGAUUAGAUACCCCAGUAGUCCUAGCCGUAAGCGAUGGAUACUAGGUGUAGCUUGUAUCGACCCAAGCUGUGCCGUAGCUAACGCGUUAAGUA
RNAcentral lists this ribosomal RNA (817 nucleotides) under uncultured Nostocales cyanobacterium. RNAcentral describes it as "bacterial SSU rRNA". It matches the Rfam family "Bacterial small subunit ribosomal RNA", at positions 8 to 866 of the family's 1533-position model. Lineage: Bacteria; Bacillati; Cyanobacteriota; Cyanophyceae; Nostocales. The record is from RNAcentral.